GUGGGGAAUAUUGCGCAAUGGGGGAAACCCCGACGCAGCGACGCCGUGUGAGGGAAGAAGGCUUUCGGGUCGUAAACCUCUGUCAGGAAGGAAGAACCUCUCAAGGCUGAACAAGCCUUGGGACUGACGGUACUUCCAGAGGAAGCACCGGCUAACUCCGUGCCAGCAGCCGCGGUAAUACGGAGGGUGCAAGCGUUAAUCGGAAUCACUGGGCGUAAAGCGCGCGUAGGCCGUCUUUUAAGUCGGGCGUGAAAGCCCUCGGCUCAACCGGGGAGCUGCGUUCGAUACUGGGAGACUUGAGUCCUGGAGAGGGUGGCGGAAUUCCGGGUGUAGGAGUGAAAUCCGUAGAUAUCCGGAGGAACACCGGUGGCGAAGGCGGCCACCUGGACAGGUACUGACGCUGAGGCGCGAAAGCGUGGGGAGCAAACAGGAUUAGAUACCCGAGUAGUCC
RNAcentral lists this ribosomal RNA (451 nucleotides) under uncultured bacterium. RNAcentral's name for it is "partial 16S ribosomal RNA". It matches the Rfam family "Bacterial small subunit ribosomal RNA", at positions 354 to 796 of the family's 1533-position model. The record is from RNAcentral.